RNAcentral lists this ribosomal RNA (514 nucleotides) under uncultured bacterium. RNAcentral's name for it is "partial 16S ribosomal RNA". It matches the Rfam family "Bacterial small subunit ribosomal RNA", at positions 28 to 523 of the family's 1533-position model. The record is from RNAcentral.
GAUGAACGCUGGCGGCGUGCCUAAUACACGCAAGUCGAGCGAACAGAUGAGAAGCUUGCUUCUCUGAUGUUAGCGGCGGGCGGGUGAGUAACACGUGGGUAACCUACCUAUAAGACUGGGAUAACUCCGGGAAACCGGGGCUAAUACCGGAUAAUAUUUUGAACCGCAUGGUUCAAUAGUGAAAGACGGUUUCGGCUGUCACUUAUAGAUGGACCCGCGCCGUAUUAGCUAGUUGGUAAGGUAACGGCUUACCAAGGCGACGAUACGUAGCCGACCUGGGAGGGUGAUCGGCCCACCUGGAACUGAGACACGGUCCAGACUCCUACGGGAGGCAGCAGUAGGGAAUCUUCCGCAAGGGGCGAAAGCCUGACGGAGCAACGCCGCGUGAGUGAUGAAGGUCUUCGGAUCGUAAAACUCUGUUGUUAGGGAAGAACAAAUUUGUUAGUAACUGAACAAGUCUUGACGGUACCUAACCAGAAAGCCACGGCUAACUACGUGCCAGCCGCCGCGGUAA